AGCUUGCUCUCGGGUGACGAGUGGCGGACGGGUGAGUAAUGUCUGGGAAACUGCCUGAUGGAGGGGGAUAACUACUGGAAACGGUAGCUAAUACCGCAUAACGUCGCAAGACCAAAGAGGGGGACCUUCGGGCCUCUUGCCAUCAGAUGUGCCCAGAUGGGAUUAGCUAGUAGGUGGGGUAACGGCUCACCUAGGCGACGAUCCCUAGCUGGUCUGAGAGGAUGACCAGCCACACUGGAACUGAGACACGGUCCAGACUCCUACGGGAGGCAGCAGUGGGGAAUAUUGCACAAUGGGCGCAAGCCUGAUGCAGCCAUGCCGCGUGUAUGAAGAAGGCCUUCGGGUUGUAAAGUACUUUCAGUGGGGAGGAAGGUGUUGUGGUUAAUAACCGUGGCAAUUGACGUUACCCGCAGAAGAAGCACCGGCUAACUCCGUGCCAGCAGCCGCGGUAAUACGGAGGGUGCAAGCGUUAAUCGGAAUUACUGGGCGUAAAGCGCACGCAGGCGGUCUGUCAAGUCGGAUGUGAAAUCCCCGGGCUCAACCUGGGAACUGCAUUCGAAACUGGCAGGCUAGAGUCUUGUAGAGGGGGGUAGAAUUCCAGGUGUA
RNAcentral lists this ribosomal RNA (606 nucleotides) under Enterobacter ludwigii. RNAcentral describes it as "bacterial SSU rRNA". It matches the Rfam family "Bacterial small subunit ribosomal RNA", at positions 77 to 677 of the family's 1533-position model. The record is from RNAcentral. Lineage: Bacteria; Pseudomonadati; Pseudomonadota; Gammaproteobacteria; Enterobacterales; Enterobacteriaceae.